UAAGGUCUGUAAUCUUGGUGGGUGAUACAGAGUUGUGUGUGCUCACUGCAAGGGCGGUCCAACAAGAAGUUGACCCUACUUUUGAACUUCCUCUUUAAUAGGUGGAUUCUUCCAGGUGCCAAGAGAAAAUGGUAACUAGAGCUAGAGAGUAGGGACAAGGCAAGGAAAAAAA
Echinops telfairi (small Madagascar hedgehog) is the source of this 172-nucleotide small nucleolar RNA. The record is from RefSeq and is a predicted model, not a curated record. Lineage: Eukaryota; Metazoa; Chordata; Mammalia; Afrosoricida; Tenrecidae.